This 726-nucleotide long non-coding RNA is filed under the name Cicer arietinum (chickpea). RNAcentral describes it as "long non-coding RNA (CARI_LNC000884)". Lineage: Eukaryota; Viridiplantae; Streptophyta; Magnoliopsida; Fabales; Fabaceae. The record is from RNAcentral.
GUAGCUUUAGGUUUCAAUCCACCAUUCACUAUUCCCAAACAUGAAAUCCCACUCUUUGCCUCAACCAUCAAAUUCUCACCUGAAAUUCUCCAAACAACAUCACUCCUAUCCAACACAAACUCAACAUUAACUGCUUUAUUAAUUCUCUUCGAAUCAAAACACAAUCCAAAUGGCCCCACCGCAUUCACUUGUGCUUCUUUUGGAAACUGUUUGGCAAAUACUUGAACAAAUGUCUCAAACAGAGAGUCUUGCAGAGUUGUGUAAGGAAUUGAAGUGCUUAUCAGUGUUCCUCCAAUUACACCUUCUGGAUAUGAUGAUAACAUAGAUCCACUCACUGGAACCACUGUGUGUUCAUUUAUUUGUAUCGAAGUUACAUGCAUUCGGUAUUCUCCUUCUGGAGUAAUUGUUAAUGGGGUGUAAAUUAAAUUAUUCAGAAUAUUAGGGUUAUUUUUGUAAUUACGGUUAUUACCAAAACGCAUGUUGUUUGCUGCAUCACCGAAUAUUAUUGCUCCGUUUGAUUUAGGGUAACGAGAUAGGCACGUUGUGAAUUGGUGUUUUAGUCCAAAGUGUGAAGAGAGUUGAUUUGGUAGUGAAAUAGGUGAAUGGGCCAGCCCAGCAACUCCUUGAACGUUGUUGGGUAAACCUUUUUGGGCCAAAAAGGAAGGUGCACAAGAGAAGAGGAAUUGAGGGACGGUAACCAUUGGGCCGAGUUUAGGCCCACGGGUG